GUGCCAGCCGCCGCGGUAAUACGGAAGGUCCGGGCGUUAUCCGGAUUUAUUGGGUUUAAAGGGAGCGCAGGCGGAGAGCUAAGCGUGACGUGAAAUGUAGCCGCCCAACGGCUGACGUGCGUCGCGAACUGGUUUUCUUGAGUGGGUACGACGUCGGCGGAACUCGUGGUGUAGCGGUGAAAUGCUUAGAUAUCACGAGGAACCCCGAUUGCGAAGGCAGCCGACGAGUCCCUUACUGACGCUAAAGCUCGAAGGUGCGGGUAUCGAACAGGAUUAGAUACCCUGGUAGUCCGCACGGUAAACGAUGGAUGCCCGCUGUUGGCGACACACUGUCAGCGGCCAAGCGAAAGCGUUAAGCAUCCCACCUGGGGAGUACGCCGGCAACGGUGAAACUCAAAGGAAUUGACGGGGGCCCGCACAAGCGGAGGAACAUGUGGUUUAAUUCGAUGAUACGCGAGGAACCUUACCCGGGCUUGAACUGCCGGCGAACGAUUCAGAGAUGAUGAGGCCCUUCGGGGCGCCGGUGGAGGUGCUGCAUGGUUGUCGUCAGCUCGUGCCGUGAGGUGUCGGCUUAAGUGCCAUAACGAGCGCAACCCCUCUCCGUAGUUGCCAUCGGGUUAAGCCGGGCACUCUGCGGACACUGCCACCGCAAGGUGUGAGGAAGGUGGGGAUGACGUCAAAUCAGCACGGCCCUUACGUCCGGGGCUACACACGUGUUACAAUGGGGAGUACAGAGAGCCGGUCUGCGCAACGCCGAUCCAAUCCUUAAAGCUCUCCUCAGUUCGGAUUGGGGUCUGCAACCCGACCCCAUGAAGCUGGAUUCGCUAGUAAUCGCGCAUCAGCCAUGGCGCGGUGAAUACGUUCCCGGGCCUUGUACACACCGCCCGU
RNAcentral lists this ribosomal RNA (888 nucleotides) under uncultured bacterium. RNAcentral's name for it is "bacterial SSU rRNA". It matches the Rfam family "Bacterial small subunit ribosomal RNA", at positions 505 to 1397 of the family's 1533-position model. The record is from RNAcentral.